RNAcentral lists this ribosomal RNA (273 nucleotides) under uncultured bacterium. RNAcentral's name for it is "partial 16S ribosomal RNA". It matches the Rfam family "Bacterial small subunit ribosomal RNA", at positions 524 to 796 of the family's 1533-position model. The record is from RNAcentral.
UACGUAGGGGGCUAGCGUUGUUCGGAAUUACUGGGCGUAAAGCGCACGUAGGCGGAUCGAUCAGUCAGGGGUGAAAUCCCAGAGCUCAACUCUGGAACUGCCUUUGAUACUGUCGAUCUAGAGUAUGGAAGAGGUGAGUGGAAUUCCGAGUGUAGAGGUGAAAUUCGUAGAUAUUCGGAGGAACACCAGUGGCGAAGGCGGCUCACUGGUCCAUUACUGACGCUGAGGUGCGAAAGCGUGGGGAGCAAACAGGAUUAGAUACCCCCGUAGUCC